UUACGGGAGGCAGCAGCUAAGAAUAUUCCGCAAUGGACGAAAGUCUGACGGAGCGACGCCGCGUGGAUGAUGAAGGCCGAAAGGUUGUAAAGUCCUUUUGUCGACGAAGAAUAAGUGGGGGAGGGAAUGCCCUCAUGAUGACGUUAGUCGGCGAAUAAGCCCCGGCUAAUUACGUGCCAGCAGCCGCGGUAACACGUAAGGGGCAAGCGUUGUUCGGAAUUAUUGGGCGUAAAGGGUACGUAGGCGGUCCUGUAAGCCCGGCGUGAAAUACUGGAGCUUAACUCCAGAACUGCGCUGGGAACUGUAGGACUUGAGUCAUGGAAGGGGAGUUGGAAUUCCAGGUGUAGGGGUGAAAUCUGUAGAUAUCUGGAAGAACACCGGUGGCGAAGGCGAACUCCUGGCCAAUGACUGACGCUGAGGUACGAAAGUGCGGGGAGCAAACAGGCUUAGAUACCCUGGUAGA
Molecule: ribosomal RNA, 463 nt
Filed under: uncultured bacterium
Lineage: Bacteria
Description: bacterial SSU rRNA
Rfam family: Bacterial small subunit ribosomal RNA
Source: RNAcentral